CUUGACACUGAACAUUGAGCCUUGAUGUGUAGGAUAGGUGGGAGGCUUUGAAGUGUGGACGCCAGUCUGCAUGGAGCCGACCUUGAAAUACCACCCUUUAAUGUUUGAUGUUCUAACGUGGACCCGUUAUCCGGGUUGCGGACAGUGUCUGGUGGGUAGUUUGACUGGGGCGGUCUCCUCCUAAAGAGUAACGGAGGAGCACGAAGGUUGGCUAAUCCUGGUCGGACAUCAGGAGGUUAGUGCAAUGGCAUAAGCCA
This 257-nucleotide ribosomal RNA is filed under the name Salmonella enterica subsp. enterica serovar Muenchen. RNAcentral describes it as "partial 23S ribosomal RNA". It matches the Rfam family "Bacterial large subunit ribosomal RNA", at positions 2110 to 2366 of the family's 2925-position model. Lineage: Bacteria; Pseudomonadati; Pseudomonadota; Gammaproteobacteria; Enterobacterales; Enterobacteriaceae. The record is from RNAcentral.